Molecule: ribosomal RNA, 201 nt
Filed under: uncultured bacterium
Lineage: Bacteria
Description: partial 16S ribosomal RNA
Rfam family: Bacterial small subunit ribosomal RNA
Source: RNAcentral
ACGCUCGACACCUACGGGAGGCAGCAGUUAGGAAUAUUGGGCAAUGGAGGAAACUCUGACCCAGCAACGCCGCGUGAAGGAAGAAGGUUUCGGAUUGUAAACUUCUGAUUCUAGGGGAAGAAGGAAGUGACGGUACCCUAGGAGAAAGCCACGGCUAACUACGUACCAGCAGCCGCGGUAAUCUGAGCGGGCUGGCAAGGC